Molecule: transfer RNA, 72 nt
Filed under: Camelus bactrianus (Bactrian camel)
Lineage: Eukaryota; Metazoa; Chordata; Mammalia; Artiodactyla; Camelidae
Also listed under: 2 other names
Rfam family: tRNA
About the family: Transfer RNA (tRNA) molecules are approximately 80 nucleotides in length. Their secondary structure includes four short double-helical elements and three loops (D, anti-codon, and T loops). Further hydrogen bonds mediate the characteristic L-shaped molecular structure. tRNAs have two regions of fundamental functional importance: the anti-codon, which is responsible for specific mRNA codon recognition, and the 3' end, to which the tRNAs corresponding amino acid is attached (by aminoacyl-tRNA synthetases). tRNAs cope with the degeneracy of the genetic code in two manners: having more than one tRNA (with a specific anti-codon) for a particular amino acid; and 'wobble' base-pairing, i.e. permitting non-standard base-pairing at the 3rd anti-codon position.
Source: Rfam by way of RNAcentral
GAGGGUAUAGCUCAAGCGAUAGAGCACGUGCUUGGCGUGCACGAGGUCCUGGGUUCAUCCCUGGUACCUUCA